CCUACGGGAGGCAGCAGUAGGGAAUCUUCCACAAUGGACGAAAGUCUGAUGGAGCAACGCCGCGUGAACGAUGAAGGCCUUCGGGUCGUAAAGUUCUGUUGUAAGGGAAGAACAAGUGCCGCAGGCAAUGGCGGCACCUUGACGGUACCUUGCGAGAAAGCCACGGCUAACUACGUGCCAGCAGCCGCGGUAAUACGUAGGUGGCAAGCGUUGUCCGGAAUUAUUGGGCGUAAAGCGCGCGCAGGCGGCCUCUUAAGUCUGAUGUGAAAGCCCCCGGCUCAACCGGGGAGGGCCAUUGGAAACUGGGAGGCUUGAGUAUAGGAGAGAAGAGUGGAAUUCCACGUGUAGCGGUGAAAUGCGUAGAGAUGUGGAGGAACACCAGUGGCGAAGGCGACUCUUUGGCCUAUAACUGACGCUGAGGCGCGAAAGCGUGGGGAGCAAACAGGAUUAGAUACCCUGGUAGUCCACGCCGUAAACGAUGAGUGCUAGGUGUUGGAGGGUUUCCGCCCUUCAGUGCUGAAGCUAACGCAUUAAGCACUCCGCCUGGGGAGUACGGUCGCAAGGCUGAAACUCAAAUGAAUUGACGGGG
Molecule: ribosomal RNA, 589 nt
Filed under: uncultured Exiguobacterium sp.
Lineage: Bacteria; Bacillati; Bacillota; Bacilli; Caryophanales
Description: bacterial SSU rRNA
Rfam family: Bacterial small subunit ribosomal RNA
Source: RNAcentral